GAUGAACGCUGGCGGCGUGCCUAAUACAUGCAAGUCGAACGAAACUUCUUUAUCACCGAGUGCUUGCACUCACCGAUAAAGAGUUGAGUGGCGAACGGGUGAGUAACACGUGGGCAACCUGCCCAAAAGAGGGGGAUAACACUUGGAAACAGGUGCUAAUACCGCAUAACCAUAGUUACCGCAUGGUAACUAUGUAAAAGGUGGCUAUACUACCGCUUUUGGAUGGGCCCGCGGCGCAUUAGCUAGUUGGUAGGGUAAAGGCUUACCAAGGCAAUGAUGCGUAGCCGAAUUGAGAGGUUGAUCGGCCACAUUGGGACUGAGACGCGGCCCAAACUCCUACGGGAGGCAGCAGUAGGGAAUCUUCCACAAUGGGCGAAAGCCUGAUGGAGCAACGCCGCGUGGGUGAAGAAGGUCUUCGGAUCGUAAAACCCUGUUGUUAGAGAAGAAAGUGCGUGAGAGUAACUGUUCACGUUUCGACGGUAUCUAACCAGAAAGCCACUGCUAACUACGUG
This 512-nucleotide ribosomal RNA is filed under the name uncultured bacterium. Its description in RNAcentral is "partial 16S ribosomal RNA". It matches the Rfam family "Bacterial small subunit ribosomal RNA", at positions 28 to 507 of the family's 1533-position model. The record is from RNAcentral.